Molecule: long non-coding RNA, 1461 nt
Filed under: Piliocolobus tephrosceles (Ugandan red Colobus)
Lineage: Eukaryota; Metazoa; Chordata; Mammalia; Primates; Cercopithecidae
Description: lncRNA (ENSPTEG00000019599.1)
Source: RNAcentral
GAAUGACGGAAGAGAAAACGACCCUAAGGAAGUAACUACUUACUCUAGUCAAAACAAACAAAGUGCUGAUAUGUGUAGUACCAAUAACAAAACAAAGUUUUCAUUUUUAAAUAAACAUCUUAGUUUUGAGUACAAAACAAAUCAGACUUGUAAUGACCCAUUAAACGUUUAUAAUAUAUUAGAAAAUAAUGUAAAAAUAUAUGAUGGAGCCAAUGCAAUGAUAUACCAAGAUUUAACAAAAUAUAUGUAUCAAACUUAUUUACAUAGCGAUAGUAACGAGCAAACUGGGGACAACAAGAUGCAAAAUAGAAACAGUAACAAACAAAGUAAAGACAGCAACAAACAAAGUAAAGNNNNNNNNNNCGAAAACAACAAACGAAGGACCGAAAACAACAAACGAAGGACCGAAAACAACAAACAGAGUAAAUAUAUUUUUAUCAUACUUAUGCACAUAUUUGAAACGUUAGAACAUGAUGAAAUGAAUUUACUAAUUCAUGGUGAACUUACGAAAUCAUUACAAUUUUUAUUAUAUAACUUGUCAGAAAAUAAGGAUAAAAGAAUUAUAUAUAAUCAAUUAAUAAAUUUUAUUUUUGAUGAUAAAAUAUUAUUUAAUGAAAACUCGGAAGAUAUAAUUAAUAAAAUCAGUUUAAACGAUACGUAUACUAAGUUAGAAAUAAGUACAAGCGGUUCAAACAAACCAAAAGAAAAAAGUAGGCAACAUAAAACAAAUAAUAACAUAAAUAAUAACAUAAAUAAUAACAUAAAAAAUAACAGAGAUAAGAACAGAAAUGGUAACAAAAAAAACGACGAUAGAAGUCAAAAUGGAAGUGAUAGCGGAAGCAAUAACAGAGUCGAAAAUGAAGAAUACAAUAACACAGAUGAAAAUGAAGAAUGCAAAAACGAAGAAUGCAAUAGACUAUUUAUUUUAAACUAUAAAAAACUUUACCCAUUAAAUAACUAUAUUGAAUGUUUUCAAAUGUUAUCAUUAGAUUUAUUUAAUUAUUUUAUACCUUGUUAUAUAUUUUAUAUUUUUAAAAAUUUUAAUAUGUAUCCAAAGUAUAACAUGAAUAUAAUAUUUUCUAUCAUUUGUUGUAAUUUAAUUAAAAAUGAAUAUUGUAAUUUAGAAUAUAUGGAAAAAAAUAAUCAUCUUAUUAUUUCUUUUAUAAAUAUGUUUCCUUAUAUUUUAGCAAACCAUAUAAAAUGCUUUCUUUAUAAUUUAAAUAACAGCUCUUGUUUUAUAUUUUAUGAAAGUAUAAUUAUCUUAUUAAAAAUUUCUUAUUUUAUAAUUCAAAAUGUUCGAUAUAUAUCUAAACGAAGUUUAUUGAAAUAUUGGUGCUCUAUCAUUUUCACAAUUGAAAAAAUCCUCUUUGUUAAUUGCAAUAAUGACAAAAUCGAUAUGUUGGAUAUUAUGCUCAUCAAAUUUAUAAGAAAUAGUUACCUAGAAGCAAACUCGAGUGCACC